GUUGAGGUUGAGGGUCAUAGUAUGCGUGAGUUGUGGGCUGUGUAUGUGAGGUGGGACCCAUAACCAAAACAAGUUGAUGGGGUUCACAUGACUGUGGACCGUGUUUUAGUUAAGUUCAUCCCCCCUGAGCUUUGCUGCUACUGCUGACCACCAGCAGGCCCUCAUCUUCCGUCUCUCUCUUUACAUUUGUCACAACAUAACCCCAACCCAACUGUUUGUGAAUAAUUUAAUAAUAUUAUUUUUUUUACACGGAAUAUGUAAGGUCUUAUCAUCAAAAUCUACUCUAUUGUUUG
This 293-nucleotide unclassified non-coding RNA is filed under the name Hevea brasiliensis (rubber tree). Lineage: Eukaryota; Viridiplantae; Streptophyta; Magnoliopsida; Malpighiales; Euphorbiaceae. The record is from RNAcentral.